Sander lucioperca (pikeperch) is the source of this 120-nucleotide long non-coding RNA. RefSeq lists it as uncharacterized. The record is from RefSeq and is a predicted model, not a curated record. Lineage: Eukaryota; Metazoa; Chordata; Actinopteri; Perciformes; Percidae. The transcript has 3 exons.
GCUCAAAUUUACUGAAUGUCAUGAACAUUCAAAAAGACUCCAUGUUCAUGACAGGUGUCAUGUCAUGGUUAUGACAGUGUCAAGUCAGUCUUAUGCACACCCCUUCAAGUAAAAUGUUAU